This 381-nucleotide ribosomal RNA is filed under the name uncultured bacterium. Its description in RNAcentral is "bacterial SSU rRNA". It matches the Rfam family "Bacterial small subunit ribosomal RNA", at positions 30 to 414 of the family's 1533-position model. The record is from RNAcentral.
AUUGAACGCUGGCGGCAGGCCUAACACAUGCAAGUCGAGCGUGAAAGUCCUUCGGGAUGAGUAAAGCGGCGGACGGGUGAGUAACGCGUAGGAAUCUACCUAGUAGUGGGGGAUAACGUUCCGAAAGGAACGCUAAUACCGCAUACGUUCUAAGGAAGAAAGCAGGGGCUCGUAAGACCUUGCGCUAUUAGAUGAGCCUGCGUCCGAUUAGCUAGUUGGUGGGGUAAAGGCCUACCAAGGCGACGAUCGGUAACUGGUCUGAGAGGAUGAUCAGUCACACUGGAACUGAGACACGGUCCAGACUCCUACGGGAGGCAGCAGUGGGGAAUAUUGGACAAUGGGGGCAACCCUGAUCCAGCCAUGCCGCGUGUGUGAAGAAGG